AGUGAACGCUGGCGGUAGGCCUAACACAUGCAAGUCGAACGGCAGCACAGUAAGAGCUUGCUCUUACGGGUGGCGAGUGGCGGACGGGUGAGGAAUACAUCGGAAUCUACUUUUUCGUGGGGGAUAACGUAGGGAAACUUACGCUAAUACCGCAUACGACCUACGGGUGAAAGCAGGGGAUCUUCGGACCUUGCGCGAUUGAAUGAGCCGAUGUCGGAUUAGCUAGUUGGCGGGGUAAAGGCCCGCCAAGGCGACGAUCCGUAGCUGGUCUGAGAGGAUGAUCAGCCACCGUGGAACGAGGAAGAGGCCCCACAUCGGGAGGGAGGCAGGGGGGGGAAUUAUAGGGGAGGGGGCGGAGGGGGGUACCACCCAAACGGGGGGGGUGAAAAGGGGCUGCGGGUUGUAAGGCCCUUUUUUUGGAGAAAAAAAAAGCCCGGUUAACACCCCAGUUUUUGGCAGGACCCGAAAAAAAAGCCCCGGCUAAAUUCGGG
RNAcentral lists this ribosomal RNA (491 nucleotides) under uncultured bacterium. Its description in RNAcentral is "partial 16S ribosomal RNA". It matches the Rfam family "Bacterial small subunit ribosomal RNA", at positions 30 to 507 of the family's 1533-position model. The record is from RNAcentral.